AUGAGUCCAGUCAGAGGCCCUCCCAGCAGAGGGAUAAGCCAGGCAGCAGGGCCUCAAAUGGAAGGGAGACCUGUAGGUGUUGGGAUGGACCUCAGCCGUGGUCCUGGAAGAGGAUUUAGGAGCAGCCAGGGAAAAAGGAGGCUAAAGGGAGUGAUGCAUUUAAGUCGUGUGGCAGUCAGUGCCCACAAACCUGUAGGAAGAGCUGAGUCUGCUCGUUCCCGGUGGAAGAGAGCAAAGAUAUUCCCGAUGAUCCUGCAGAAAGUGAAAGGUAGGAAAGAUUCCAGCUAUGCCAAGCUGCUGUCGGCUCGCCAAGCGGACGGGGACAAACCCAUGAUGAUCAGGGGAAGCUACUUCCAGAAAUCCACGGAUGACAGGCCCUCCAUGAGGAAACUAAACCACGUGUUGAAGCGCAUCAGCGUCUCCAGGAAAUUCCAGGAGGGCCUUGGCAAGGAUUUGGCGCGUGGAGAGGAAGGGUCUGAAAGGGAGGAAGCCAAGUCGGGGGUUUCGAUCAGUAUCACGGCAGACAGCGAGCAGUCGGACAGCGACUACGAGAGGAGGACGAGGAGGAGGAGGCGCACCUCGGAUGAGUCCUCUGAGAAGAGCAGCAGCUCCGGCUCCGAGUCGGAAGACAAAGACUACUUGAAAAUAACCCUGGAUCAGGAUGAGGCCACGGAAAGCACCGUGGACUCGGAUGAGGAAACGGGGGAUUUGGGGGAUUCCGAUGACGAGUCUGAAUCCAGCUCCAGCAGUGAGUCAGAGGAGGACUCGUCAGAAGAGGACGAUGAUGAGGUAGACUCUGAGAGCGAUGAAGAUGGCAGCAUGUCCAAGAGCUCAUCCUCACGGAGCUCCUACAGCAGGACCAGUGAGUCCAGCAGCAGGAGAAGCACGGAAAUGUCCAGUGUGAAAAGCUGGGCAGGCAGCUCCCGUGGCAAAUGCUCCAGCCAGAAAUCCGUGAGCUCUACCACCUCAGGUAGCGACAGGGACACGAGCUACAGGAGAACCUCAGGAUCCAGCUACAAGAGCAAAACCUCCUCUGCCAGCGUGGAAAUAGAGGACACCAUAGAAGAGGUGUCAGAAGAAGAGGAAGAGGCAGAGGAGACAGCAGAUAACUCAAACAGGGCGGAUUCUAAAACUGCCAAGGCAAAAGCUGCUGCUGCUGGAGAGGGCAAGGGAGGACAAUCAGCUGUUCCUGGUGAGGAGAGCGAGGAGGAAAGUGCAGAGGAGGUUGAUCCAGAGGACAGUGACAGGGAGGACACUGCCAGUAAGAAUGAAUCUUCUUGCCUAGACAGUGAAAUCAGCGCGACUUCCAAAGGUACCACAGGGGCAAAAAGCUCAGGCAGUGCCACGUCGGGGAAAACCACCACGUCCCCUGGGACUGAGACUCAGAGCUCUGACACCAACAGGAAAGGAGCGAAAUCACAGAAAAAGGUGUCCCAGGAAAGCAGCCAGUCCCAGGGUACUGGAACUGCGGAGUCAGAGGCCACGGGUGACUCCACCUCCUUCUAA
Molecule: long non-coding RNA, 1506 nt
Filed under: Corvus moneduloides (New Caledonian crow)
Lineage: Eukaryota; Metazoa; Chordata; Aves; Passeriformes; Corvidae
Description: lncRNA (ENSCMUG00000018292.1)
Source: RNAcentral